UACGGGGGGGGCAAGCGUUGUUCGGAAUUACUGGGCGUAAAGGGCCAGUAGGCGGCCAACUAAGUCAGACGUGAAAUCCCUCGGCUUAACCGGGGAACUGCGUCUGAUACUGGAUGGCUUGAGAUUGGGAGAGGGAUGCGGAAUUCCAGGUGUAGCGGUGAAAUGCGCAGAUAUCAGGAAGAACACCCGUGGCGAAGGCGGCUCUCUGGGACGGUACUGACGCUGAGACGCGAAAGCGUGGGGAGCGAACAGG
This 253-nucleotide ribosomal RNA is filed under the name uncultured bacterium. RNAcentral describes it as "partial 16S ribosomal RNA". It matches the Rfam family "Bacterial small subunit ribosomal RNA", at positions 524 to 776 of the family's 1533-position model. The record is from RNAcentral.